Non-coding RNA from Tachysurus fulvidraco (yellow catfish), 504 nucleotides. Lineage: Eukaryota; Metazoa; Chordata; Actinopteri; Siluriformes; Bagridae. The record is from the annotation of a RefSeq genome assembly.
AUGCUUCAAGCAACCAUGACUUUGAUCAGCGUCUUCAUCUGCACACUGGCCCUCUGGACUCAAGGAUCCAGAGGUCAGGUGACUGUGACUCAGACUCCUUCAGUGCAAACUGUUGCUGCAGGAAACACAGUCACCAUCAACUGUAAAACCAGUAGCAGUGUGCAUGGUGGUAGCUAUCUACACUGGUACCUGCAGAAACCUGGAGAAGCUCCUAAACUCCUGAUCUACUUGGCUACUAGCAGACAGUCAGGGAUUCCAGAUCGUUUCAGUGGCAGUGGAUCUAAUACUGACUUCACUCUGACCAUCAGAGGAGUCCAGACUGAAGAUACAGGAGAUUACUACUGUCAGAGUGCACAUAGUGGCCCGGUGUUAACACCGUGUUAGAGCGUCGUACAAAAACCUCGGUCAGUGAGACUGCACAGAGAAACACUGCUGCAGCUGGGAGUGACUGCAGGUGCUGAGGGGGAGGAUGUGAUACAGCACAAUGACACACACUGUGGACCA